RNAcentral lists this transfer RNA (84 nucleotides) under Candidatus Margulisiibacteriota bacterium. RNAcentral describes it as "tRNA-Leu". It matches the Rfam family "tRNA". From Rfam's summary of the family: Transfer RNA (tRNA) molecules are approximately 80 nucleotides in length. Their secondary structure includes four short double-helical elements and three loops (D, anti-codon, and T loops). Further hydrogen bonds mediate the characteristic L-shaped molecular structure. tRNAs have two regions of fundamental functional importance: the anti-codon, which is responsible for specific mRNA codon recognition, and the 3' end, to which the tRNAs corresponding amino acid is attached (by aminoacyl-tRNA synthetases). tRNAs cope with the degeneracy of the genetic code in two manners: having more than one tRNA (with a specific anti-codon) for a particular amino acid; and 'wobble' base-pairing, i.e. permitting non-standard base-pairing at the 3rd anti-codon position. The record is from RNAcentral. Lineage: Bacteria; Bacillati; Candidatus Margulisiibacteriota.
GCCGAGGUGGCGGAAUUGGCAGACGCACUAGAUUCAGGUUCUAGCGAGGUCACACUCAUGCAGGUUCAAGUCCUGUCCUCGGCA